CAGUAGCCGCGGUAAUACGAGGGGGGCAAGCGUUGUUCGGAAUUAUUGGGCGUAAAGGGUGCGUAGGCGGCUUGACAAGUCUUGUGUGAAAUCUAUGGGCUCAACCCAUAGUCUGCACGGGAAACUGUCGGGCUUGAGAAUGGGAGAGGUGAGUGGAAUUUCCGGUGUAGCGGUGAAAUGCGUAGAUAUCGGAAGGAACGCCAGUGGCGAAAGCGGCUCACUGGACAAUAACUGACGCUGAUGCACGAAAGCUAGGGGAGCAAACAGGAUUAGAUACCCCCGUAGUCCCUGUCUCUUAUAC
RNAcentral lists this ribosomal RNA (301 nucleotides) under uncultured bacterium. RNAcentral's name for it is "partial 16S ribosomal RNA". It matches the Rfam family "Bacterial small subunit ribosomal RNA", at positions 509 to 807 of the family's 1533-position model. The record is from RNAcentral.